Molecule: long non-coding RNA, 925 nt
Organism: Vicia villosa (hairy vetch)
Lineage: Eukaryota; Viridiplantae; Streptophyta; Magnoliopsida; Fabales; Fabaceae
Exons: 4
Source: RefSeq, a predicted model, not a curated record
AGUACUUGAGUUAACAAAGACUUUUUGCUUUAGGGUUCAAUGCGAGGAGAUUGUGAACAAUCCAUGCAUGUCACUGGCAAGGCAUUGAUGUCCGAUGAAAUAAAAAACUAUGUACAGUCUCUUCAGCAACAAAUGGAGGCAAGGUAGAAUGCAAGAGGCUGAGAUGGUAUUACAUAAGAUGAUUGAUAAGGGUGUCAAUCCUGAUAAAUCAAUAUACACAUCACUAAUAAACGGGCAUGUCUCUAAAGAUAACCUGAAAGAGACAUUCCGUGUCCAUGAUGAAAUGCUGCAAAGGGGAUUUGUCCCAGAUGACAAAUUCUAGAAAUUUUACCGUUAUGCUACAAUGUUAUAGCUCUUUUGGUCUAAAUUGACUAGGCAUUUCACAUGACAAUUGCAUGGAGUUAAUUGUUUCUAUAUUGUUGAAGCAGAAACCUUGAAGUUGUUGCAGUUAUGAAGCAUAGCAUGAGAGUUAAAGCAUGCUUCCUUGCUCUUGUACUAAAGAAGUUGGUCUUGUUCUCCAAAUACGUGAUUGGCAGGAAGAAAGGGUCCAAGAGAUAAGCAAAAAUCAGUUCAUUCGUUGCAGGUAGAAAUUGGAAGGCUCAAAGGAAGGUUGACUGAAGUUAUCAGUAACUGCGAUUGGAUCUUGGAAUGUUGCUGGAAGACAUCCAUCCCAGGAUCUUGAUAUUGAUGACUAGAUUUGUGCCGAAGAACCGAGUGAUAUUCUCGCUGCUCGUUUCUAUUUAUUUUACAAUUUCUAGUUUUGUUCAAUUGUUUCUAAAUGUGAGUUGUUUUCACAUCAGUAGGGUGCUCUCUACUGGGAGUCACAUUUUAUCUGUUCAGUGCUAUUUUCCAUUUCUUUAAAGAGAUUAUUCCUCAUCCAUUGUACUGCUUAUAUGCUAUAAUCAAUAUACCACUAUUUCCUCCA